This 508-nucleotide ribosomal RNA is filed under the name uncultured bacterium. Its description in RNAcentral is "partial 16S ribosomal RNA". It matches the Rfam family "Bacterial small subunit ribosomal RNA", at positions 28 to 507 of the family's 1533-position model. The record is from RNAcentral.
GACGAACGCUGGCGGCGUGCCUAAUACAUGCAAGUCGAACGCUUCUUUCCUCCCGAUUGCUUGCCCUCAAUUGGAAAGAGGGGGGGCGGAAGGGGGAGUAACCCGUGGGUAACCUACCCAUCAGAGAGGGAUAACACUUGGAAACAGGUGAUAAUACCGCAUAACAGUUUAUGCCGCAUGGCAUAAGGCUAAUAGGCGCUUUCCGGUGUCGCUUACGGAUGGAUCCCCAGUGCAUUAGCUAGUUGCUGAGGUAACGGCCCACCAAGGCCACGAUCCAUAGCCGCCUUGGGAGGGGGAUCGGCCACACGGGAACUGGAACACGGCCCAGACUCCUCCGGGAGGCAGCAGUAGGGAAUCUUCGGCAAGGGACGAAAGUCUGACCGAGCAAGCCCGCGGGGGUGAAGAGGGUUUUCGGAUCGUAAAACUCGUUUGUUAGGGAAGAACAAGGUCGGUAUUAAAUGAACGUCCUCUGACGGUAGCUAACCAGAAAGCCACGGCUAACUACGUG